Molecule: ribosomal RNA, 433 nt
Filed under: uncultured bacterium
Lineage: Bacteria
Description: partial 16S ribosomal RNA
Rfam family: Bacterial small subunit ribosomal RNA
Source: RNAcentral
AACGAACGCUGGCGGCAUGCCUAACACAUGCAAGUCGAACGAGACCUUCGGGUCUAGUGGCGCACGGGUGCGUAACGCGUGGGAACCUGCCCUUAGGUUCGGAAUAACUCCCCGAAAGGGGUGCUAAUACCGGAUAAUGUCUUCGGACCAAAGAUUUAUCGCCUUUGGUUGGGCCCGCGUUGGAUUAGCUAGUUGGUAGGGUAAAAGCCUACCAAGGCGACGAUCCAUAGCUGGUCUGAGAGGAUGAUCAGCCACACUGGGACUGAGACACGGCCCAGACUCCUACGGGAGGCAGCAGUGGUGAAUAUUGGACAAUGGGCGAAAGCCUGAUCCAUCAAUGCCGCGUGAGUGAUGAAGGCCUUAGGGUUGUAAAGCUCUUUUACCCGGGAUGAUAAUGACAGUACCGGGAGAAUAAGCUCCGGCUAACUCCGUG